This 21-nucleotide non-coding RNA is filed under the name Caenorhabditis elegans. Lineage: Eukaryota; Metazoa; Nematoda; Chromadorea; Rhabditida; Rhabditidae. The record is from RNAcentral.
UAUAAUGUUGCUUACUUUGAG